This 406-nucleotide ribosomal RNA is filed under the name uncultured bacterium. RNAcentral's name for it is "partial 16S ribosomal RNA". It matches the Rfam family "Bacterial small subunit ribosomal RNA", at positions 28 to 526 of the family's 1533-position model. The record is from RNAcentral.
GAUGAACGCUAGCUACAGGCUUAACACAUGCAAGUCGAGGGACCGGCGCACGGGUGAGUAACACGUAUCCAACCUGCCCUUUACCCGGGGAUAGCCUUUCGAAAGAAAGAUUAAUACCCGUAGUUAAGGAUGGGGAUGCGUUCCAUUAGGUUGUUGGUGAGGUAACGGCUCACCAAGACUUCGAUGGGUAGGGGUUCGGAGAGGAAUGUCCCCCACAUUGGAACUGAGACACGGUCCAAACUCCGACGGGAGGCAGCAGUGAGGAAUAUUGGUCAAUGGGCGUUAGCCUGAACCAGCCAAGUAGCGUGAAGGAUGAAGGCUUAUGGGUCGUAAACUUCUUUUAUAUAAGAAUAUGUAUUAUAUGAAUAAGGAUCGGCUAACUCCGUGCCAGCAGCCGCGGUAAUUC